AUUGAACGCUGGCGGCAGGCCUAACACAUGCAAGUCGAACGAGUGGCGGACGGGUGAGUAAUGUCUGGGAAACUGCCUGAUGGAGGGGGAUACCUACUGGAAACGGUAGCUAAUACCGCAUACCAUCGGAUGUGCCCAGUUGGGAUUAGCUAGUAGGUGGGGUAAAGGCGCACCUAGGCGACGAUCCCUAGCUGGUCUGAGAGGAUGACCAGCAACACUGGAACUGGUACACGGGCCAGAUUCCUACGUGAGGCGACCGUGGGGAAUAUUGCACAAUGGGCGCAAGCCUGAUGCAGCCCUGCCGCGUGUAUGAAGGAGGCCUUCGGGUUGUAAAGUACUUUCAGCGGGGAGGCGUUACCCGCAGAAGAAGAACCGGCUAACUCCGUGCCAGCAGCCGCGGUAAUUC
This 406-nucleotide ribosomal RNA is filed under the name uncultured bacterium. RNAcentral describes it as "partial 16S ribosomal RNA". It matches the Rfam family "Bacterial small subunit ribosomal RNA", at positions 30 to 526 of the family's 1533-position model. The record is from RNAcentral.